Non-coding RNA from Triticum urartu, 135 nucleotides. The record is from Rfam. Lineage: Eukaryota; Viridiplantae; Streptophyta; Magnoliopsida; Poales; Poaceae.
UAUAUACUCCCUCCAUCCGAAAAUACUUGUCAUCAAAAUGGAUAAAAAAAGAUGUAUCUAGAAUUAAAAUACGUCUAGAUACAUCCCUUUUUAUUCAUUUCAAUGACCAGUAUUUCCGGACAAAGGGAGUACUAC